AGAGUUUGAUCAUGGCUCAGAUUGAACGCUGGCGGCAUGCUUUACACAUGCAAGUCGAACGGCAGCACGGGGGCAACCCUGGUGGCGAGUGGCGAACGGGUGAGUAAUGCAUCGGAACGUGCCUAGUAGUGGGGGAUAACGCGUCGAAAGAUGUGCUAAUACCGCAUACGCACUAUGGUGGAAGGCGGGGGCUCCAAGGGUAACUGAGGACCUCGCGCUAUUAGAGCGGCCGAUGCCCGAUUAGCUAGUUGGUGAGGUAAUGGCCCACCAAGGCAACGAUCGGUAGCUGGUCUGAGAGGAUGAUCAGCCACACUGGGACUGAGACACGGCCCAGACUCCUACGGGAGGCAGCAGUGGGGAAUUUUGGACAAUGGGCGCAAGCCUGAUCCAGCCAUGCCGCGUGAGUGAAGAAGGCCUUCGGGUUGUAAAGCUCUUUCGGCCGGAACGAAAUCGUCCGAGCUAAUACCACGGAUGGAUGACGGUACUGAAGAAGAG
Molecule: ribosomal RNA, 495 nt
Filed under: uncultured Derxia sp.
Lineage: Bacteria; Pseudomonadati; Pseudomonadota; Betaproteobacteria; Burkholderiales; Alcaligenaceae
Description: bacterial SSU rRNA
Rfam family: Bacterial small subunit ribosomal RNA
Source: RNAcentral